Molecule: long non-coding RNA, 127 nt
Organism: Molossus molossus (Pallas's mastiff bat)
Lineage: Eukaryota; Metazoa; Chordata; Mammalia; Chiroptera; Molossidae
Exons: 3
Source: RefSeq, a predicted model, not a curated record
AGCUCCUUGAGGAGAGAGACUGCGCUGUAACUGGACACUUGUUCCACUGCUGCUGAAGGAAUAACCCUCCCAACUCUGCGAUACGGGUACAGGAGGACGCGUGUGGUUUCCGGUAUCUGAAGAUAAA